AGCUUGCUCCCUGAUGUUAGCGGCGGACGGGUGAGUAACACGUGGGUAACCUGCCUGUAAGACUGGGAUAACUCCGGGAAACCGGGGCUAAUACCGGAUGCUUGUUUGAACCGCAUGGUUCAAACAUAAAAGGUGGCUUCGGCUACCACUUACAGAUGGACCCGCGGCGCAUUAGCUAGUUGGUGAGGUAAUGGCUCACCAAGGCAACGAUGCGUAGCCGACCUGAGAGGGUGAUCGGCCACACUGGGACUGAGACACGGCCCAGACUCCUACGGGAGGCAGCAGUAGGGAAUCUUCCGCAAUGGACGAAAGUCUGACGGAGCAACGCCGCGUGAGUGAUGAAGGUUUUCGGAUCGUAAAGCUCUGUUGUUAGGGAAGAACAAGUACCGUUCGAAUAGGGCGGUACCUUGACGGUACCUAACCAGAAAGCCACGGCUAACUACGUGCCAGCAGCCGCGGUAAUACGUAGGUGGCAAGCGUUGUCCGGAAUUAUUGGGCGUAAAGGGCUCGCAGGCGGUUCCUUAAGUCUGAUGUGAAAGCCCCCGGCUCAACCGGGGAGGGUCAUUGGAAACUGGGGAACUUGAGUGCAGAAGAGGAGAGUGGAAUUCCACGUGUAGCGGUGAAAUGCGUAAAGAUGUGGAGGAACACCAGUGGCGAAGGCGACUCUCUGGUCUGUAACUGACGCUGAGGAGCGAAAGCGUGGGGAGCGAACACGAUUACAUACCCUGGUAGUCCACGC
RNAcentral lists this ribosomal RNA (739 nucleotides) under Bacillus mojavensis. Its description in RNAcentral is "bacterial SSU rRNA". It matches the Rfam family "Bacterial small subunit ribosomal RNA", at positions 77 to 800 of the family's 1533-position model. Lineage: Bacteria; Bacillati; Bacillota; Bacilli; Caryophanales; Bacillaceae. The record is from RNAcentral.